AUUGAACGCUGGCGGCAGGCCUAACACAUGCAAGUCGAGCGGAUGAAGGGAGCUUGCUCCUGGAUUCAGCGGCGGACGGGUGAGUAAUGCCUAGGAAUCUGCCUGGUAGUGGGGGAUAACGUCCGGAAACGGGCGCUAAUACCGCAUACGUCCUGAGGGAGAAAGUGGGGGAUCUUCGGACCUCACGCUAUCAGAUGAGCCUAGGUCGGAUUAGCUAGUUGGUGGGGUAAAGGCCUACCAAGGCGAGGAUCCGUAACUGGUCUGAGAGGAUGAUCAGUCACACUGGAACUGAGACACGGUCCAGACUCCUACGGGAGGCAGCAGUGGGGAAUAUUGGACAAUGGGCGAAGGCCUGAUCCAGCCAUGCCGCGUGUGUGAAGAAGGUCUUCGGAUUGGAAAGCACUUUAAGUUGGGAGGAAGGGCAGUAAGUUAAUACCUUGCUGUUUUGACGUUACCAACAGAAUAAGCACCGGCUAACUUCGUG
Molecule: ribosomal RNA, 484 nt
Filed under: uncultured bacterium
Lineage: Bacteria
Description: partial 16S ribosomal RNA
Rfam family: Bacterial small subunit ribosomal RNA
Source: RNAcentral